GACGAACGCUGGCGGCGUGCUUAACACAUGCAAGUCGAGCGGUAAGGCCCUUUCGGGGGUACGACGAGCGGCGAACGGGUGAGUAACACGUGGGUGACCUGCCCUCAGCUCUGGGAUAAGCCUGGGAAACCGGGUCUAAUACCGGAUAUGACUCCAUGACGCAUGUUGUGGGGUGGAAAGCCUUGUGCGGCUGAGGAUGGGCCCGCGGCCUAUCAGCUUGUUGGUGGGGUGAUGGCCUACCAAGGCGACGACGGGUAGCCGGCCUGAGAGGGCGACCGGCCACACUGGGACUGAGACACGGCCCAGACUCCUACGGGAGGCAGCAGGUGGGGAGUAUUGGACAAUGGGCGCAAGCCUGAUCCAGCGAUGCCGCGUGUGUGAAGAAGGCCUGCGGGUUGUAAAGCACUUUCAGUAGGGAAGAAAAGCGAUGCUAAUAUCAUUCGGUCUUGACGUUACUUACAGAAGAAGCACCGGCUAACUCCGUGCCAGCAGCCGGCGGUAAG
RNAcentral lists this ribosomal RNA (503 nucleotides) under uncultured bacterium. Its description in RNAcentral is "bacterial SSU rRNA". It matches the Rfam family "Bacterial small subunit ribosomal RNA", at positions 28 to 524 of the family's 1533-position model. The record is from RNAcentral.